This 1359-nucleotide ribosomal RNA is filed under the name metagenome. Its description in RNAcentral is "SSU rRNA". It matches the Rfam family "Eukaryotic small subunit ribosomal RNA", at positions 3 to 1367 of the family's 1831-position model. The record is from RNAcentral.
CCUGGUUGAUCCUGCCAGUGGUCAUAUGCUUGUCUCAAAGAUUAAGCCAUGCAUGUUUAAGCAGAAGCCGCACAACGGUAAAGCCGCGAAUGGCUCAUUACAACAGCCGUCGUUUCUUGGAUCUCUAAUUUUACUUGGAUAACUGUGGUAAUUCUAGAGCUAAUACACGCACUAAAGCUCUGACCUUACGGAACGAGCGCAUUUAUUAGAACAAAACCAAUCGGGUUUCGGCCCGUUCGUUGGUGACUCUGAAUAACUCUGCCGAUCGCACGGUCUCGCACCGGCGACGUAUCUUUCAAGUGUCUGCCUUAUCAACUUUCGAUGGUAGUUUAUGUGCCUACCAUGGUUGUAACGGGUAACGGAGAAUAAGGGUUCGACUCCGGAGAGGGAGCCUGAGAAACGGCUACCACAUCCAAGGAAGGCAGCAGGCGCGCAAAUUACCCACUCUCGGCACGAGGAGGUAGUGACGAAAAAUAACGAGACGGAUCUCUUUGAGGCCCGUUAUCGGAAUGAGAACAAUUCAAAUCCUUUAACGAGGAUCUAGCGGAGGGCAAGUCUGGUGCCAGCAGCCGCGGUAAUUCCAGCUCCGCAGGUGUAUAUCUAUGCUGCUGCGGUUAAAAAGCUCGUAGUUGGAUCUGCGUGCUCGGAACUGGUUGGCUCACUGAGUUCAAACUGGUCUCCGGCGCUUUAUUGGCUGGUUUUCCCUUGAUGCUCUUAACCGGGUGUCUUGGGUGGCUAGCACGUUUACUUUGAAAAAAUUAGAGUGCUCAAUACAGGCGUAAAGCCUUGAAUAGUGGUGCAUGGAAUAAUAGAAUAGGACCUCGGCUCUAUUUUGUUGGUUUUCGGAACGCGAGGUAAUGAUUAAGAGGGACAGACGGGGGCAUUCGUAUUGCGACGUUAGAGGUGAAAUUCUUGGAUCGUCGCAAGACGGACGACUGCGAAAGCAUUUGCCAAGAAUGUUUUCAUUAAUCAAGAACGAAAGUUAGAGGUUCGAAGGCGAUCAGAUACCGCCCUAGUUCUAACCGUAAACGAUGCCAACUAGCGAUUCGCAGGCGUUAAACAACGACCUUGCGGGCAGCUUCCCGGAAACGAAAGUGUUCGGGUUCCGGGGGAAGUAUGGUUGCAAAGCUGAAACUUAAAGGAAUUGACGGAAGGGCACCACCAGGAGUGGAGCCUGCGGCUUAAUUUGACCCAACACGGGAAAACUCACCCGGCCCGGACACCGUAAGGAUUGACAGAUUGAGAGCUCUUUCUUGAUUCGGUGGGUGGUGGUGCAUGGCCGUUCUUAGUUGGUGGAGCGAUUUGUCUGGUUUAUUCCGAUAACGAACGAGACUCUGGCCUACUAAAUAGUGGGCGGAU